CACCGCCUGGGGAGUACGACCGCAAGGUUAAAACUCAAAUGAAUUGACGGGGACCCGCACAAGUAGUGGAGCAUGUGGUUUAAUUCGAAGAUACGCGCAGAACCUUACCAACACUUGACAUGUUCGUCGCGACUUUAAGAGAUUAAAGUUUUCGGUUCGGCCGGACGAAACACAGGUGCUGCAUGGCUGUCGUCAGCUCGUGUCGUGAGAUGUUGGGUUAAGUCCCGCAACGAGCGCAACCCUCACUUUUAGUUGCCAUCAUUUAGUUGGGCACUCUGAAAGAACUGCCAGUGAUAAGCUGGAGGAAGGUGGGGAUGACGUCAAGUCCUCAUGGCCCUUACGUGUUGGGCUACACACGUGCUACAAUGGCAUUUACAAUAGGAAGCAAGACGGCGACGUCAAGCAAAUCCUAAAAAAAUGCCUCAGUUCGGAUUGUACUCUGCAACUCGAGUACAUGAAGCUGGAAUUACUAGUAAUCGCGGAUCAGCGCGCCGCGGUGAAUACGUUCCCGGGUCUUGUACACACCGCCCGCCACACCAUGGGAGUUGGUUCUACCUUAAGGCAAGGUUUAAAACCCUUGACUACGGUAUAGUCAGCGACUGGGGUGAAGUCGUAACAAGGUAGCCGUAGGGGAACCUGCGGCUGGAUUACCUCCUUUCUAAGGAUGAUUAAGAAUUAUUUCUUGAUCUAAAUAAUAAACAGGUUAAUGUUGACCGUCCUCAUUUCUCUUCUUAAUAUGGUAUUUCUUUAGUUCUGCAUACGCGGGCCGGUAGCUCAGUUGGUUAGAGCACACCCUUGAUAAGGGUGGGGUCGAAAGUUCGAGUCUUUCUCGGCCCACCAUUUUAUUUGGGGGAUUAGCUCAGCUGGGAGAGCGCCUGAUUUGCAUUCAGGAGGUCAGCGGUUCGAUCCCGCUAUCCUCCACCAGAAACAUUUAGCUAUUAAAAUUGUGAAUAAAUAAAUAAUAUCAAUAUCUAUAUCCGAUUGUUCGAAUAGAUGAACAAUCAAGAAUGUUCGAAAAGAUGAACAUUCCAACAAAAUUUGAUUCAACACAGAAUUUUUUUCUG
RNAcentral lists this small RNA (1064 nucleotides) under uncultured Pelagibacterales bacterium. RNAcentral describes it as "bacterial SSU rRNA". The stretch from base 1 to 658 matches the Rfam family "Bacterial small subunit ribosomal RNA", at positions 867 to 1533 of the family's 1533-position model. Lineage: Bacteria; Pseudomonadati; Pseudomonadota; Alphaproteobacteria; Candidatus Pelagibacterales. The record is from RNAcentral.